This is a long non-coding RNA of Gorilla gorilla gorilla (western lowland gorilla), 9678 nucleotides long. RefSeq lists it as uncharacterized. The record is from RefSeq and is a predicted model, not a curated record. The transcript is spliced from 3 exons. NCBI's taxonomy places the organism in Eukaryota, Metazoa, Chordata, Mammalia, Primates, Hominidae.
CCCUCUCCUCCUGCCCCCGACCCGCUGAAUCUCCCCACACCUCCCUCGGCCCCGCAGGGGAAAUCGGCCUGCCCCUACGGAAAUCCCGUUUCUUUAUACACCCGGUCUUGGCUGGGCGGUGUCUUCCCCGUGGAAGAGAGGGUCCGGGAGGUCCGUGGGGCGGCGCAGUCCGAGGGCUUCGGGAGUCAGCCCGGGUGGAUUUGUUUCGUGGCUCUCGUUGCUGGCUGGGACGGCCGUGUGCCCGUGUUGUUCCGGAGAUCGAGGCCAACGGAUGCCGUCCUCGCCGGGUGCUCAGCCGGCCUGACCCAGCUCACCUCAUUCUCAACCUCACCAAUCAACACCAGUCAACAUCAAUCACAGAGCGUCUGAAAGGAGGAAUUUUCAUUUUCUUUUAAAGUGAAAAGGUAAAAACUGCAUUUACUAAACCAGGCCGGUGGGGGCUCUGUGAGCCCCUCUGCACAGGAAGCCUCAGAGACGCUGCAUGGUGUUCCCGGGGCAUCCUGGCCAAGGUGGGAGAACGCAGCCUCCGUGAGGACCCGCGGGAUGCCCUCAGGGGCCGCCUCCUGGUUCUCGUCUCCUCUGAAGUGCAGACGACGCUGGCCCACAUCCUUGUCGGGCAGAGGGGCUGCCAACUGGCCCCUGGCCGUGGCUGUUGCUGGGAGCCGUGUGGCCUGGGCUUGGACCCACAUCCACCUCUUGCUGGCUGCCUGCUCUUGCCAGUGGCUGAGCCUGGCUUCUCCCAUGACAGUGGCCGCAGACACAGGGGACCCGUGCCACCAGGCAAGGUGUCUGGGGACGAGGUGAGAGUUCUGCCAAAGCCGGAGCCAGGGUUGGACCCCCGGAGCUCCUUGGUCGGCCCCUGGAGGGAGAGUGGUGUGUUCACACCACGGCCCUGGUGGCCCCGCUCUGCCCAUCUUCAUCCCAGGUGGCAGCUGCUGCCCAGCUCUCUGGCCAGUGCCUCUUAGAUGGUGUCACCACCUGCAGAAGAAAACAGAAGUGCUGACUAAUACUUGAUGAAGGCCUGCUAUGCCGGCGGCACCUGAUGCGGCAGGUGAAGUCCGGGGGGCAGCAGCCAAGGCUGCCUGUUCCUCAGUGUCCCUGCCCGUGAGACGGGCAUAGCUAACUCCUGUGGCCACCUUGAGGGUAAGAUGCUUCCUGCAGGUGCUUGGACCAGUAUCUGGCACGGGGCAGAUGCUCAGUGAAAGUUCCUUGUUAACCCCUGUACCUUUCACUGUUGGAAGUAACUCAGGACAUUGGCUUGGUGGUUACACAAGCACUGUGGGAGAAGGUGGUGUGUCUGUUCACCCUGGGUCCCAGCGGCUGAGGCAGAGCCAGCCAUGCAGGAGGCAGGCGUCCAAUAUGUAUAUUGGAUGGAAGAUUGAAUUGCAUAAUAAAAUAUACUAAACAUUUCCAGAGUGGAGGGGUGAGGAGGUCAACAAACCCUCUCCCCAAAAUGUACCUGUAAAUCUAAACAAAAGUCAGAAACAACCAUGUCGGUGCUUUGGAAUUUAACCAAAGGCAAACAGCAAACCAAGGAGUGUUUAUUCAUCAAAGAGCCACGUGCUGUGGUCCCAGCCACUCGGGAAGCUGAGGCAGGAGGGUCACUGGAGCCCAGGAGCUGGAAGCUGCAGUGAAUUACGAUGGCAUCUGCUCUCCAGCCUGGGUGACAGAGAGAGACCCCAUCUCUAAAAAGAAUAAAACCCUGGACUUCAGGAUAAAAUCCAAAAUUACUUGGCAUAACUGAACUAGGAAAAUCUCAACUUAAACGGAAAACGAGGCCGGGCACGGUGGCUCACGCCUGUAGUCCCAGCACUUUGAGAGGCCGAGGUGGGCGGAUCACGAGGUCAGGAGAUCGAGACCAUCCUGGCUAACAUGGUGAAAACCCAUCUCCACUAAAAAAAUACAAAAAAAUUAGCCAGGCGUGGUGGCGGGCACCUGUAGUCCCAGCUACCGGGGAGGCUGAGGCAGGAGAAUGAUGUGAACCCAGGAGGUGGAGCUUGCAGUGAGCCAAGAUCGCGCCACUGCACUCCAGCCUGGGUGACAGAGCGAGACUCUAUCUCAAAGAUAAUAAUGAUAUAGAGAAAUUAUGCUACCUCAAUAAUUUUUGUUGAGGUAAAAUUCCCAUAUCAUAAAAUUAAGCAUUUUAAAAUAUGCAAUUCAGUAGCAUCAUGGAACACUCACAAUGCAGUUCACCCAUCACCUCUGACUACUUCCAAAACAUUUCAUCUCCCCAAAAGGAAACCACACCCAUUAAACAGUCUCUUCCCCUGUCCCCGUCCCCAGCCCCUGGCAACCACUAAUAUGUUUUCUGUGUCUCUGAAUUUACCUAUUCUGAACACAUCAUACAAAUGGAAUCAUGCGAGUUGUGCCUUUUGUUUCUGGUUUCUUCACCCAGUUUUCUAGAUUCAUUUUUUGUGGCUGAAUAGCAUUCCUUUGUAUGGAUAGACCACAUUUCUCUCUCCAUUCAUCCAUUUAUGGAAGUCAGUUGUUUCCACCUUUUGGAUAUUAUAAAUAGUGCUGUUGCAAACAUUCCAUGUACAAGUUUUUGUUUGAAUACCUGUUUUCAACUCUUUUGGGUCUGUACUUAGGAGUGGAAUUGCUGGCUCACACAUUGCUGUCUAUGUUUAACUUACUGAGGAACUGCCAGACUGUUUUCUGCAGUGGCUGGAACAUUUUAUGUUGCUACCAGCAAUGGAAGAGGCUUCCCAUUUUUCCACAUUUUUGCCAACUUUGAUAUUUUUCAUAUUUCUGAUUAUAGCCACCUCAGAGAGUGUGAAGUGGUGUCUUACUGUGGUUUUGAUUUGCAUUUUCCUAAUGACUAAUGAUAUUGAGUGUCUUUGUAUCUGCUUAUCGACUAUUUGGGCAUCUUCUUUGGAUAAAUGUUUAUUCGGACCCUUUGCCCAUUUUACAUUGGGUUUUUGUCUUUGUAUUGUUGAGUUGUAAGAGUCCUUUGUAUAUUCGGAAUGCUGGACCCUUAUCUGCUGUGUUUCGCAAAUAUUUUCCCCCAUUCUGUAGAUUCUCUUUUCAUUCUCUUGACAGUGUCCUUUGAUGCUCAAAAGUUUUUAAUUUUGGCAAAGUCCAGUUACCUACCUUUUCUUGCUUUGCUUGUGGUUUUAGUGUCUUAUCUAAGAAGGUCAUGAACAAUUUACCUAUUUUUCUUUUUUUUUUUCGAGACACAGUCUUCCUCUGUUGCCCAGGCUGGAGGGCAAUGGCACAUUCUCGGCUCACUGCAGCCUUGACCUCCAACGCUCAAGGGAUCCUUCCAUCUCAGCCUCCCUGGUAGCUGGGACUACAGGGGCACACAACCACUCUCAGCUAAUUUCUUACUUUUUUGUAGAGAUGUGGUCUUUCUGUGUUGCCCAAGCUGGUCUUGAACUCCUGGGCUCAAGUGAUCCUCCCAUCUUAGCCUCCCAAACAGCUGGGGGAUUAUAGGCAUGAGCCGCUGUGUCCAGCCUACACCUGUGGUUUCUUCAAAUAGUAUUAUAUUUUUAUUAGAUCACAUAUUGAUAUAUAGGUGAGGGAAGAGCCCGGCUUCAUUAUAUUGAUUGACAGGUGAGGGAAGAGCAGGCUUCAUCGUAUUGAUAGACAGGUGAGGGAAGAGCCGGCUUCAUCGUAUUGAUAGACAGGUGAGGGAAGAGGUGGUUUCAUGAUAUUGAUUGACAGGUGAGGGAAGAGGUGGUUUCAUGAUAUUGAUUGACAGGUGAGGGAAGACCGGGUUUCAUUAUAUUGCAGGUGGAUAUGCAGAUUUCCUAAUGUCAUUUGUUGAAAAGACUAUUCUUUCCAUAUACGACCUCAUUUUAUUUUAUUUUACUUUUUAUUUUAUUUUAUAUUUUUGAGAUGGAGUCUCACUCUGUUGCCCAGGCUGGAGUGCGGUGGUGCGAUCUUGGCUCACUGCAUCCUCCUGGGUUCAAGCGAUUCUCGUGCCUCAGCCUCCCGAGUAGUUGGGAUUACAGGGAUGUACCACCACGCCCCGCUAAUUUUUGUAGUUUUAGUAGAGACGGGGUUUCACCAUGUUGGCCAGGCUGGUCUCGAACUCCUGGGCUCAGGGAUCUGCCCGCCUCAGGCUCCCAAAGUGCUGGGAUUAAUGGCGUGAGCCACUGCACCCGGCCAUGAUCUUAUUUUAGAAAUUGCUACAAAAUCGCAAUAUUGAACACAGUGUGCGAUAACAAGAUGUCUUAGAAAAACAAAAAUAACAGAAUAAAACAAAACAAGACAGUGAGGGCCGGGUGUGGUGGCUCACACCUGUAAUCCCAGCACUUUGGGAGGCCGAGGCAGGUGGAUCACGAGGUCAGGAGAUCGAGACCAUCCUGCCCAACAUGGUGAAACCCCGUCUCUACUAAAAAUACAAAAAUUAGCUGGGCAUGGUGGCGUGUGCCUGUAAUCCCAGCUACUUGGGAGGCUGAGGCGGGAGGAAUCGCUUGAACCCAGGAGGCGGAGGUUGCAGUGAGCUGAGAUCGUGCCACUGCACUCCAGCCUGGUGACAUAGUGAGACUCUGUCUCAAAAAAAAAAAAACAAAAAAACAAGACAGUGAGGUCUUGGUGAGGAGACAGAUACAGACAUCAGUGUAACAGGAUGGAGUCCAGAGACAGCCUCACACAAAUGUGACGAAAUGUUCUCUGAGAAAGGCACUACAGUGAUUUGACAGAGCAAGUAUCAUCUUUUCUGCCGGGCACAGUGGCUCACUCCUGCAAUCCCAGCGCUUUGGGAGACUGAGGCGGGCGGAUCACUUGAGCCCAGGGGUUAGAGACCAGCAGGGGCAACAUGGUGAGAACUUGUCUCUACAAAAAAUAGCUGGGCUUCAUGGCACGUGCCUACAGUCUCGGCUACUCAGGAAGCUGUGGUGGGAGGAUCGCUUGAGCCUGAGAGGCAGAGGUUGCGGUGAGCUGAGAUCAUGCCACUGCACUCCACCCUGGGCAACAGAGUGAGUCCUUGUUUCAAAAAAAAAAGAGUAUAAUCUUUUCAACAAAUGGUGCUGGAAGAAUUUGACAUUCACAUGCAAAAACAAACAAACAAACAAAAAAAAACAACCAAAAAAACCAACCAAACAAACAAAAACCUUGACCUAAAUCUCACAUAUUAUACAAAUAUUAACUAUACAAAUGGAUAAUGUAUCUAAAUAUAAAAUGUAAACUAUAAAACAUCUAGAAGAAAGUACAAGAGAUAAUCUUUGUGACCUGAGCAGCCAAUAUUAAAAGCAUGAUCCCUUUAAGAAAAAUAUGGAUAAACUGGGCUUCACUGAAAUAAAAAACUUGUAUUGUGAAUGAUCCUGUUAAAAGAUUAGAAAGACAAGCCACAGACUUGGAGAAAAUAUGUGCAAAUCAUAGAACUGACAAAGGACUUGUAUCCACAAUACAUAGAAAACUCUCAAGACUCAACACCAAAAAAUAAAAAUAAACAAUUCAAUUGAAAACUUGGCCAAGGGGCUGGGCGCCGUGGCUCACGCCUGUAAUCCCAGCACUUUGGGAGGCCUAGGCGGGCAGAUCACGAGGUCAGGAAUUCGAAACCAGCCUGACCAACAUGGCGAAACCCCGUCUCUACAAAAAAUACAAAAUUUAGCUGGGCAUGAUGGUGCGUGCCUGUAGUCCGAGCUACUCGGGGGGCUGAGGCAGGAGAAUCACUUGAACCUGGGAGGCAGAGGUUGCAGUGAGCCGAGAUUGCACCACUGCACUCCAGCCUGGACAACAGAGUGAGACUCCGUCUCAAAAAAAAAAAAAAAGUGAAGGAUUUGAAUAGACAUUUCUGCAAAAAAGACAUGCAAAUGGCUAAAAGGUACACGAAAAGAUCCAUAGGGUUAGUCAUUAGGGAAAUGAUGCAAAUCCAAACCCCAAUGAGACAACACUUCACACCCAGCAGAGCUCUGAUAAAAAGACACACAAUAAUAAAAGCAGAGGAAUGGAAACCCUGCUACACAGCUGCUGGGAAUGUGAAAUGGUGUAACCACUUUGGAAAACAUUUUGGCAGUUCCUCAAAAGGUUAAAUAUAGUCACAGGAUUUUGCUCUUCAAUAUCUACCCGGGAUAAAUGAAAACAUGUGUCCACACACAAAAAACUUGUACCACCAUAGGGCAUUAUUCAUGUUAGCUAAAAAGUGGAAACAGGCUGGGCGCGGUGGCUCAUGCCUGUAAUCCCAGCACUUUGGGAGGCCGAGGUGGGCGGAUCACCUGAGGUCAGGAGUUCGAGACCAGCCUGGCUAACAUGGCGAAACCCUGUCUCUACUAAAAAUACAAAAAUUAGUCGAGUGUGGUAGCAGGUGCCUGUAAUCCCAGCUACUUGGGAGGCUGAGGCAGGAGAAUCACUUGAACCCGGGAGGCAGAGGUUGCAGUGAGCCGAGAUUGCACCACUGCACUCUAGCCUGGACCACAGAGCAAGACUCUGUCUCAAAAAAAGUGGAAACAACCCAAAUGUCCAUCAACUGAUGAAUGAUGAACAAAAUGUGGCCCGUCCCUACAGCAGAGGAUUGUUUGGCAAUAAGAAAGAAGAAAGCACUGACGCAGGUUGCGACACAGAGAAACCAAACCCAGAAGCAGCCAGUCAGCAGAGACCACACACUGCGCACGGUUCCAUUCAUACAAAACGCCCAGAACAGGCAAAUGCAUGGAGCCGGAAGGCAGAUGAGUGGUUGCCCAGGGCUUGGUUAGAGGUGGAGGAGGAAUGGGGACUGAUUACUAAAUGGUACAAGGUUUCUUUUCGGGGUGAUGAAAUGUUCUAAAAUUAGAUUAUGGUGAUGGUUGCUCGGCUUUGUAAAUAUGCUGAGAGCCAUUGCAUCAUGCACUUUAAAUGGGCAAAUAUUAUGGCAUGUAAAUGAUAUCUCAAUAAAGCUGUUUUUAAAAAAGGAUAAAAGGAUGGGUGCAGUGGUUCACACCUAUAACCCCAGCACUUUGGGAGGCCCAGGCAGGCGGAUCACCUGAGGUCAGGAGUUCGAGACCAGCCUGGCCAACAUGGAGAAACCCUGUCUCUAUUUAAAAAAAAAAAAAAAAAAAAUUAGCCAGGGUGGUGGUGCACGCCUGUAAUCCCAGCUACUCAGGAGGCUGAGGCAGGAGAAUCGCUUCAACCUGGGAGGCGGAGGUUACAGUGAGCCGAGAUCGCACCACUGCACUCCAGCCUGGGCGACAAGAGCAAAACUCCAUCUCAAAAAAAAAAAAAAAAAAAGGAUAAAAGACUUAAUGGGAGCUUCACCAAAGACCGUGUACUAACUAGCCCAUGAAAUGUUCUUCAACAACAUUAGGGAAAUGCAAAUUAAAAGCACCAUGAGAGGCCACCUAUGAGAGCAGCUAAAAAAAAAAAAAAAAAAAAAAAUUCCAAACACCAAGGACGCCAAGUGCUGCAGUGGCCGUGAGGCUCCGGGAACUCCCUGGGGGUGCAGACGGCGCGGGUUUCCCUCCCGAAGCCAGGUCGGCAGCUUCUGGUGAAGGGAAACCUGCGCCUGGGGUAUGACCCAGCAAUUCAGCUUCUGAGCAUUUAUCCAAGACAAAUUCAAACAGGUUUACAUUAAAGGACGGUACACAGAUGUUUAUGGGAGCUCUAUUCAUAGCUGCCCAACCUGGAAACAUUGCAGGUGUUCUUCUGCGGGUGAACAGAGACUGUGGUGUGUCGUGUAUGAGAUACUGCUGAGUGAUAGAAGGAACGAGCCGUCGAUCCGUGAAACCCCCUGGGUGGGUGUCCACAGCGCUGUGCCAAGUCAGAAAAGCCAGACCUCAACACAACCCGGUGCGUCUAUGUCGUGGGCCUCAUCCAACAUUCUUAGAACAAAUGGGAUUUCCAGGGGGAAGAGGAGGGGUGACCGUAAACGGUGCGUCUGGGGAGAUUUCCGAGUCGUGGGAUGUCCUGCUUCCUGAGUGCGGCGGUGGCGAUACGUGUGUGUGAAUAUUCACAGAGUCGUACAUCUUCCAAAAAAGUCAACUUACUGUGUGAUAAUUCAAAAAAAUAAUGACAGAUAAAACAAUGAUUUAAGACGCACAGCCAUCGUAGUAAACACUGAUCCAUGAAUCAUCCACGAAUGCUAAGUCCAGAGAUGGAUUCUGAUGAGGGACAGGACAUUUACCUAACCCAAAAUGAGACAGGACUACGACAGGGUGGCCGCAGGAGAACAGAUGAUUCCAGGCAGCAGUUUCAUGGCUAUCAAAAGAGAGCUGUUGAAAAAGCUGCAGAGGCCAGGGGGUGACCAGACACUGAAGACCAGGACAUGGGCCAAGCUGGCCGAGAUGACUGGACUCACUGGGCCGAGCUGGGCCAAGAGGACUGGACCCACUGGGCUACGCUGAGCCGAGACGACUGGACCCACUGGGCCAAGCUGGGCCAAGAGGACUGGACCCACUGGGCCAUGCUGGCCGAGACGACUGGACCCACUGGGCCGAGCUGGGCCGAGACUACUGGACCCACUGGGCCAAGCUGGACAAGAUGACUGGACCCACUGGGCCACACUGGCCGAGACAACUGGACCCACAUGGCAGUGGACUUGACCUGGGUUUCACCGGUGACCUAAUUAUAUGCUCAUCAACAUACAAAUCACACUCGGCAGUGUCAUGACAGUUCCAGGAACACACAUAUUUGGUGUAAAAAAGGGUGGCACCACAGUUCCUAGAAAUCUUCACCUUUUUCCAGAAAUCUUUAUGAAUAGUCCACUCCUUGAUUAAAGAAACCCAUUAAAGGUAGGGGCCCCAAACCCUGCCUCACGACUCACUCUCUUCAGAACACCCAUACUCCCCUUUCUUCUUUGACUUUUUUUUCUAUUGUUUAUUUUUAUGAGGCAGAGUCUCACUGCGUUGCCCAGGCUGAUCUCGAACUCCUGCCUCAGCCUCCCAAUGUGUUAGGAUUACAGGCGUGAGCCUUCACACCCAGCCACACUCUGCUUUCUGGAGGGUGUACUUUUUGCUUUGCAAUAAAUCUUUACUUUCAUUAUUUUUUAACUCAUCCUUGAAUUCAUUUUGUGAUGGUGUUAAGAGGCUGGACACUGGCCUGGGUCAAGGUCCCAUUUGCAUUUGGGGACCUCCCCUGGCCACCGGUAUCAAAAGUACUUCCUUGUUAAUUUUCAGGGUUUUUUUUGAGAUGGAUUCUCACUCACUCUGUCACCCAGGCUGGAGUGCAGUGGCAUGAUCUUGGCUACUGCAACCUCUGCCUCCCGGGAUCCAGCGAUUCUCGUGACUCAGCCUCCUGAGUAGCUGGGAAUACCGGCAUGUGCUACCACACCUGGCUAAUUUUUGAAUUUUUAGUAGAGAUGGGGUUUCACCAUUUUGGCCGGGCUGGUCUUGAACUCCUGGGCUCAAGUGAUCCACCCGCCUUGGCCUCCCAAAGUGCUGGGAUUACAGGUGUCAGCCACCGUGCCCGGCUUACUUAUCAGUUACAAAGGGCAAAGUGGUAACUUUACUGUGAGAAGCUUGUGGAUGCCAGUUUAACCAGAGGAUCAAAGGUACCGUUGCCGCUGGUGGGCAGCCAGCGUCCCGAGCGCUGGGAAGGAUGCCUGGCUCUUGGUGCCAAUCUGUUCAUGCAGAAAUGUCAGGAACGCUCAACGCGGGGAUGAUCUACAAAACAACCGCUUUGCAUUCUUCAAAAGUUUCAGUGUCAUAAAAGAUUUUUUAAAAGACAGGCCCAAUGUAUAUACCGUGAAAAUAGUAAAACAAUAAAAUAUAAAAAUAAAAAGACUGAACUAACCUUGUCUUUGUAUUGAUGUGGAGUCAACCG